UACGUAGGGUGCGAGCGUUGUCCGGAAUUAUUGGGCGUAAAGAGCUCGUAGGCGGUUUGUCACGUCGGUCGUGAAAACCUGCAGCUUAACUGUGGGCGUGCGGUCGAUACGGGCAUCACUGGAGUUCGGCAGGGGAGACUGGAAUUCCUGGUGUAGCGGUGAAAUGCGCAGAUAUCAGGAGGAACACCGGUGGCGAAGGCGGGUCUCUGGGCCGAUACUGACGCUGAGGAGCGAAAGCGUGGGGAGCAAACAGG
Molecule: ribosomal RNA, 254 nt
Filed under: uncultured bacterium
Lineage: Bacteria
Description: partial 16S ribosomal RNA
Rfam family: Bacterial small subunit ribosomal RNA
Source: RNAcentral